RNAcentral lists this long non-coding RNA (2980 nucleotides) under Sarcophilus harrisii (Tasmanian devil). RNAcentral describes it as "lncRNA (ENSSHAG00000027585.1)". Lineage: Eukaryota; Metazoa; Chordata; Mammalia; Dasyuromorphia; Dasyuridae. The record is from RNAcentral.
UUGAAUUAUUUUGAAGGAAGCCAGGGAACUAAGGCAGAGGUGAAUGACAUAACCGUUAUGCCGUUCAUAACCUUCCAAGGCUCUCUGGAAGUAAAUGGAGCAUCAGGUUCAAGGGAUUGAUAAGUGGGCUGCUAUUGAUGGAAGUCUGGAAAAGUAAGGAGGAACUGCAUUAUGAAGAGCUUUGUUCUUUUUUUAAAUUAAGCAUUGUCUUUUUACUUGCCCCCUCCCUAUUUAAAACACAGGUGGAGACAUACACAUAUUAACUUAUAAUGAAGUUGAGCUAAACACAUUCAGCCAAUUUGCCAAGUCUAAAAAUGUAGGUCCCGUCAUGCAUCUUGAAUGCAUCCCUCUCUGUCAGGAGGCGACUGAAACACACGUCUUCACUGGUCCUUUGGAAUCAUGGUUGCUCAUUGCAUUGGUCAGAGUUCUCGGCUCUUUCAGAGUUUCUUUACAAUAUUAUUGCCUUUGUAUAAAUGAUUACCAGGUUUCUCAAUUACUCCUUUCAUCCUUUCUUAUAGCACAAUAGGAUUCUGUCAUGUUCAUGUAUCAUGAUAUAUUGAGCCAUUCCCUAGUGCAGUGCUUAUUUUCCAAGUCCUUGCCACUGCAAAAAGAAUUGCAAAGAUAGAUUAUUAGGUAGGUAGCUAGGUAGAUGAUUGGUAGAUUGAUAACUAGAUGAAGCAUUUAUUAAACCACAUUGCACUGAAUACCUGGGAUAUUUAUAAAAGUGAGCAAUGGCAUUACCUAGGAAUUUAACUACUCACGAGGGAAGACAGCACAUAAAGAGAAACAGGAAAGUUGGGGACAAAAGGGUGGAAGGGAAGGAAAUGUUUUUCAAAGUGGUAUUGGGUCAAGUUUUCCAGUUGUUUAAUAGCCAUAUUUAAAACUCUGACCCUUAUUUGAGGUUUUCUUGCCAAAGAUACUGGUGUGGGUUACCAUUUCCUUCUCCAUUGCAUUUUACAGAUGAGGAACUGAGGCAAACAGGGUUACAUGAUUAUCCAGGGUGACAGCUAGCAAGUGUCUCAGGCCGCUAAGAAAGCAAACUGCCAGAUAAUCAAGCGUGUUAAAAUCUGUAGAGAAGUCAAAAAAAGGGAGUGAGAAAAGACCACUAGAUUGGGUAGUUAAGAAUUUAUUGGUGGCUUUGGAGAGGGCAGUUUCAGUAGGAUAAUCAGAUUAGAAAUGAGAUUUGUAAGAGUUUAGAAAAAAGAUUUUAUUUUCCAGAAAAGAUCAGAGACUUGGCAAAGGGUUGGAUUUGAUGGCAGAACCUGGAUUGAAAUUUGAGACGGAGACAACUUUUUCACCACAGCUAACCCUGAAGGGGAUGCAGGUGAGAGUCGGGAUGCCUACAGGACAUAGCAGGAGAGGAUGUGUGACAGCAGGAGGAGGAGGAAACCAGAGCACAGUCACUAAUGUUUGCUGCCCUCAUGCAAGGACUGGGUUUGGGGGAAGCUUUUCCCCCACAGGAUCCCAGUUCCCAAGGCACUACUGCUGCUUGUCCCUGAGACACUGUAACAGGACCUUGCCUUCUGCUCUCACUGAGCAGAAUGCAGAAUGGGAAGAGGGAGAAAAUUUGGAUCACAAGGUUUUGCAAAAGUGAAUGUUGAAAAAUAUCUUUACAUGUAUUUGAAAAAAUAAACUAUUUAAAAAAAUAAAAGAAAAAGAAGUAGCACCUACUCUCCCCUUAGUUGUCACAAACCUUCCAUUUCCCAUCAGGCAUUUAGAAUGUAGAAUGAGGUGCAUGAGUGGUCUUUACUAGCACCUGACCUGUGCCCCAGCCUCGGCUCCUAUCUAGACUGUAUCACUGAGCUCAGAAGAGUGGGACUUCUGAAGCCUGUAUUGGCUGCUCUGAACUUACUGGCCUGAUUAAAAGUAGCACCUACUUGUAUCCCAGAGAUCAUAAAAAGAGAAAGGGACCCACACAUGUGCAAAAAUGUUUGUGGCAGUCUUUUUUGUAGUGGCAGGAAACUGGAAAAUGAGUGGAUGCCCAUCAGGUGGAGAAUGGUUGAAUAAAUUAUGGAUGUUAUGGAAUAUUAUUGUUGUAUAAGAAAUGAUGAGCAGAUUCCAUUAGAUUGUGAUGGAGAGAACCAUCUGUAUCCAGAAGGAGGACUGGGGGACUGGGAGGAAUAUGGAUCACAACAUAAUAUUUUCACCUAUUUUGUGUUUGCUUGCUUUUUUUUUUUUUUUUUUUUUUUUUUUUGUAUUUCUCAUUUUUUUUUCCUUUUUGAUCUGAUUUUCCUUGUCUAGCAUGAUAAAUGUGGAAAUAUGUUUAGAAGAAUUGCACCUGUUUAAUGUAUAUUGGAUUACUUGCUAUCUAGGGGAGGGGAUGGGAAAAAUUUGGAACAUAGCUUUUGCAAGAGUGAAUGUUGAAAACUAUCUUUGCAUGUGUUUUGAAAAUAAAAAGCUAUUAUUUUAAAAAAGGAAAGAAAUGAUGAGCAGGCUGAUUUCAGAAAGCCCUGGACUUACAUGAACUGAUACUGAGUUAAGUUAGCAGAAUUAAGAAAACAUUGUACACAGCAACAAAAUUAUGUGAUGAUCAACUGUGAUGGACUUCAACAAUGACCCCGAGGUCAUUCAGGGAAAUUCCACUAGACUUGUGUUGGAGAGAGCCAUCUGCAUCCAGAAAGAGAAAUAUGGGAACUGAAUGUAAACCCCCUUUUUUGUUGUUGUUUGCUUGUUUUCUUCUUUUUUUCUUGUGUUCUAUUUUUACCUUUUGAUCUGAUUGUUCUUGUGCAGCAUGAUGAAUAUGGAAAUAUGUUUAGCAAAAUUGCACAUGUUUUUGGAUUGGUUGGUUAUUGGAUUGGUUACUGUCUAGGGGAGGAGGAGGGAGAAAAUUUGGAUCACAAGGUUUUGCAAAAGUGAAUGUUGAAAAAUAUCUUUGCAUGUAUUUGAAAAAAUAAAAAACUAUUUGAAAAAAAAGUAACACCUACUCUCCCUUAGCUGUCACAAACCUCCCAUUUCCCACCAGGCAUUUAGGCAGCUGGGG